RNAcentral lists this ribosomal RNA (550 nucleotides) under Providencia rettgeri. Its description in RNAcentral is "bacterial LSU rRNA". It matches the Rfam family "Bacterial large subunit ribosomal RNA", at positions 1 to 581 of the family's 2925-position model. Lineage: Bacteria; Pseudomonadati; Pseudomonadota; Gammaproteobacteria; Enterobacterales; Morganellaceae. The record is from RNAcentral.
GGGUUGUGAGGUUAAGCGACUAAGCGUACACGGUGGAUGCCUAGGCAAUCAGAGGCGAUGAAGGACGUGCUAAUCUGCGAUAAGCGUCGGUAAGGUGAUAUGAACCGUUACAACCGACGAUUUCCGAAUGGGGAAACCCAGUGCAAUUCGUUGCACUAUCGUUUGAUGAAUACAUAGUCAAACGAAGCGAACCGGGGGAACUGAAACAUCUCAGUACCCCGAGGAAAAGAAAUCAACCGAGAUUCCCCUAGUAGCGGCGAGCGAACGGGGAGCAGCCCAGAGUCUUAAUCAGCAUUAGCAUCAGGAGAACGGUCUGGAAAGUCCGGCAGUAAAGGGUGAUAGCCCCGUAUCCGAAGGUGUUAGUGUUGUGAACUCGACGAGUAGGGCGGGACACGUGUUAUCCUGUCUGAAUAUGGGGGGACCAUCCUCCAAGGCUAAAUACUCCUGAUUGACCGAUAGUGAACCAGUACCGUGAGGGAAAGGCGAAAAGAACCCCGGCGAGGGGAGUGAAAUAGAACCUGAAACCGUGUACGUACAAGCAGUGGGAGCC